Molecule: non-coding RNA, 234 nt
Organism: Pelobates cultripes (western spadefoot toad)
Lineage: Eukaryota; Metazoa; Chordata; Amphibia; Anura; Pelobatidae
Source: the annotation of a GenBank genome assembly
AAAAAACUGAGCUUUGUGUUUUUCCACAUUUUGCUUUAUAGUAUUGUUUUGGAGGUAUUCUCUGAAGCAGUUGUUCCCAAUUCAGUCCUCGGGUUAUUUUUAACAGUGCCGGUUUUGUCAAAAUCACAAUAGGAACAAGACUAGAAAAUUACUAAAACAAAGACUGGGAUGUGAACCACUGCUGUAAGGGACAAUUUACAUUGGAUUUGACUCCCAUUUUUUUAAUGACAUUCC